CAGUCGCCACGGUAAUACGGAGGGGGCUAGCGUUGUUCGGAAUUACUGGGCGUAAAGCGCACGUAGGCGGCUUGGUAAGUUAGAGGUGAAAGCCCGGAGCUCAACUCCGGAAUUGCCUUUAAGACUGCCGAGCUAGUAGGUGAGAGAGGUAAGUGGAAUUCCGAGUGUAGAGGUGAAAUUCAUAGAUAUUCGGAAGAACACCAGUGGCGAAGGCGGCCAUCUGGGACAACACUGACGCUGAGGCACGAAAGCGUGGGGAGCAAACAGGAUUAGAUACCCGCGUAGUCCCUGUCUCUUAUAC
Molecule: ribosomal RNA, 301 nt
Filed under: uncultured bacterium
Lineage: Bacteria
Description: partial 16S ribosomal RNA
Rfam family: Bacterial small subunit ribosomal RNA
Source: RNAcentral